This 443-nucleotide ribosomal RNA is filed under the name uncultured bacterium. RNAcentral describes it as "partial 16S ribosomal RNA". It matches the Rfam family "Bacterial small subunit ribosomal RNA", at positions 338 to 795 of the family's 1533-position model. The record is from RNAcentral.
CCUACGUGAGGCAGCAGUGGGGAAUAUUGGGCAAUGGAGGCAACUCUGACCCAGCAACGCCGCGUGAAUGAUGAAGGUCUUCGGAUUGUAAAGUUCUUUUCUAAGGGCAGAAGAAAGUGACGGUACCUUAGGAAUAAGCCUCGGCUAACUACGUUCCAGCAGCCGCGGUAAUACGUAGGAGGCAAGCGUUAUCCGGAAUGACGGGGCGUAAAGGGUGCGUAGGGGGUUUGACAAGUUAGUAGCGCAACUCCGGAGCUCAACUUCGGAACUACUACUAAAACUGUUGGACUUGAGUGCAGGAGGGGAAAUCGGAAUUCCUAGUGUAGCGGUGGAAUGCGUAGAUAUUAGGAGGAAUACCGUUAGCGAAGGCGGCAAUCUGGCUGGAAACUGACGCUGAGGUGCGAAAGCGUGGGUAGCAAACAGGAUUAGAUACCCUGGUAGUC